AGAAAGAAGGAAAGGAGCGAGGGGCAAAUGAGUAAUAAGCAAAAAAGAAAAAGAAAAAAAGUAGAGAAAAAAUGAAGUAAAACUAGAGAAAGCGGCGAGUCAGCAACACCGUGCGUGAAUCGCGAAAACCCGGCACUCGACGGCGCAGCAGAGGCUGCUACUACUCAUAUGCUCUUCAAUCGGAGAAGACAGUAGUAGUAGAUUUUGUUACGGAGCUCGCCGGUGAAUCGAGGAAGUGAAAGCAACACCGAGUUCGAAGAUGUCAGACCUAGAUAGGCAAAUUGAGCAGCUCAAGAGAUGCGAGCCGUUAAAGGAAUCUGAAGUUAAGGCUCUUUGUAUGAAAGCUAUGGAAAUCCUUGUUGAAGAAAGCAAUGUGCAGAGAGUCGACGCGCCUGUCACUAUAUGUGGUGAUAUCCAUGGACAAUUUUAUGACAUGAAAGAGCUAUUUAAAGUGGGAGGUGAUUGCCCAAAGACAAAUUACUUGUUUCUCGGAGAUUUUGUUGAUAGAGGAUUUUACUCCGUUGAGACAUUUCUUCUUCUACUAGCUCUUAAGGUGAGAUAUCCCGAUCGGAUCACUCUUAUCAGAGGUAACCAUGAGAGCCGCCAGAUCACACAG
This 616-nucleotide unclassified non-coding RNA is filed under the name Hevea brasiliensis (rubber tree). Lineage: Eukaryota; Viridiplantae; Streptophyta; Magnoliopsida; Malpighiales; Euphorbiaceae. The record is from RNAcentral.